This 478-nucleotide ribosomal RNA is filed under the name uncultured bacterium. RNAcentral's name for it is "partial 16S ribosomal RNA". It matches the Rfam family "Bacterial small subunit ribosomal RNA", at positions 28 to 507 of the family's 1533-position model. The record is from RNAcentral.
GAUUAACGCUGGCGGCGUGCAUAACACAUGCAAGUCGAACGAUGAAACUCAUUAGAUUUCUUCGGAAUGAAAAUGAAUGGAUUAGUGGCGAACGGGUGAGUAACGCGUGAGUAACCUGCCUUACACAAGGGGAUAGCCUCUGGAAACGGAGAAUAAUACCCUAUGAAACCAGACAAUCGCAUGAUAAUGUGGUCAAAAUGUUUAGUGGUGUAAGAUGGACUUGCGUCUGAUUAGCUAGUUGGUGAGAUAAAAGCUCACCAAGGCAACGAUCAGUAGCCGGCUUGAGAGAGUGUACGGCCACAUUGGGACUGAGACACGGCCCAGACUCCUACGGGAGGCAGCAGUGGGGAAUUUUGCACAAUGGGGGAAACCCUGAUGCAGCGACGCCGCGUGAUUUAGAAGGCCUUCGGGUUGUAAAAAUCUUUUGUAUAGGAAGAAAAUGACAGUACUAUACGAAUAAGGUCCGGCUAAUUACGUG